CACUUGUAGAGCACCGCCUCAACAAAACUCAUUUUCAAGAUUUUUUUUUACUGUACAAUUCAAAAAAUUUCGCUCGCUCGCCCUAUAUUUUUUUAGCGUUUGUCCAAAGAACUAUAAAUCAAAUUGGUGUGGCCUUGUCUAAACAAUUUCUAUUCAAAACUUUUCUCAGAAUUGGUAACUGUUCUAAAAAAAGACAAAUAUUGUGCCAUAUUUGAUUUUAAUACUGUUCUCUUUGUAUCUUAUUUAGGAUAUUAAUGUAAAAUAAAAUAAUAUUUGAUGAGAGCAUUCUGCUUUUACAUGAUUAGCUGUUGAUGCAUGAAAUAGAAAGAAUUUGAAUAUAAGUUAAUUUUUCUCCUUUUUGUAUAACGUUUCCCUACAUGGACAAUGCCAUGGAAGAAAAUCCUUCCUUCUCAGCAAUAUUUUCAAAAAUUUCAUAAAUCAUUGAAAAGAACUAUCUCUUGCAAAGUUACAUGUAAUGUCAUGAUAAAAGGCAAACAACAAUGCAUUUCAAUUGCAAGGAUGGUGAAUUCCAUAUAACUAUAAAUUCUUAAUACUGAAGCGAGAUUCCAGAAAGCAUGAAAAUUAUCAGUAAGCUCUCUCCCAUUAAAAUUUGGUCAAUUACAUUAAGGGAAUACAAAAGAAUUUGAACCAUGUCCAACAGGUAAUGACUUCAAUGAUAUAGGACAGUUGUUAAUGUGAAAUAUACAAGAAGAAACUUCUUCAAAAUAAAUUAUUGUCAAG
RNAcentral lists this long non-coding RNA (741 nucleotides) under Mytilus galloprovincialis (Mediterranean mussel). The record is from RNAcentral. Lineage: Eukaryota; Metazoa; Mollusca; Bivalvia; Mytilida; Mytilidae.